UGCCAUCCCUGUCACUAUCAAGGGGCAGGAGGAUAAUCAAGUGACCCUAAAGGACUUCCUAUGUCUUACCAAAACAUCGAGUUCUGCCAGUAUUACAUCACCACAUGUCUGGAAGUAGACCUCAAAGCUCUACAUGGUUGUCAAGAACCAGGACACACAAUUUUAAACUCAAUCGUUGGGAGCUCUGCUCGGAUAUCUGCCCUUCAGAUCCUUCGUUUCUCUACCCAGUUAGAAUUCUGAAGGUGGACACUUGAUCAACACCCAAGUGUAUGUGGCAAUCCAAGUCGAAAGAAAAUGAGCUGGGAUUCAGAUU
Non-coding RNA from Monodelphis domestica (gray short-tailed opossum), 313 nucleotides. Lineage: Eukaryota; Metazoa; Chordata; Mammalia; Didelphimorphia; Didelphidae. The record is from RefSeq and is a predicted model, not a curated record.